GCCGACCUUGAAAUACCACCCUUUAAUGUUUGAUGUUCUAACGUGGACCCGUGAUCCGGGUUGCGGACAGUGUCUGGUGGGUAGUUUGACUGGGGCGGUCUCCUCCUAAAGAGUAACGGAGGAGCACGAAGGUUGGCUAAUCCUGGUCGGACAUCAGGAGGUUAGUGCAAUGGCAUAAGCCAGCUUGACUGCGAGCGUGACGGCGCGAGCAGGUGCGAAAGCAGGUCAUAGUGAUCCGGUGGUUCUGAAUGGAAGGGCCAUCGCUCAACGGAUAAAAGGUACUCCGGGGAUAACAGGCUGAUACCGCCCAAGAGUUCAUAUCGACGGCGGUGUUUGGCACCUCGAUGUCGGCUCAUCACAUCCUGGGGCUGAAGUAGGUCCCAAGGGUAUGGCUGUUCGCCAUUUAAAGUGGUACGCGAGCUGGGUUUAGAACGUCGUGAGACAGUUCGGUCCCUAUCUGCCGUGGGCGCUGGAGAACUGAGGGGGGCUGCUCCUAGUACGAGAGGACCGGAGUGGACGCAUCACUGGUGUUCGGGUUGUCAUGCCAAUGGCACUGCCCGGUAGCUAAAUGCGGAAGAGAUAAGUGCUGAAAGCAUCUAAGCACGAAACUUGCCCCGAGAUGAGUUCUCCCUGAGACUUAGAGUCUCCUGAAGGAACGUUGAAGACGACGACGUUGAUAGGCCGGGUGUGUAAGCGCAGCGAUGCGUUGAGCUAACCGGUACUAAUGAACCGUGAGGCUUAACCUUACAACGCCGAAGCUGUU
RNAcentral lists this ribosomal RNA (763 nucleotides) under Salmonella enterica subsp. enterica serovar Thompson. Its description in RNAcentral is "partial 23S ribosomal RNA". It matches the Rfam family "Bacterial large subunit ribosomal RNA", at positions 2185 to 2925 of the family's 2925-position model. The record is from RNAcentral. RNAcentral also lists the same sequence under 1 other name. Lineage: Bacteria; Pseudomonadati; Pseudomonadota; Gammaproteobacteria; Enterobacterales; Enterobacteriaceae.